GCCAGGUGUGGUGGCCCACACCUGUAAUCCCAGCUACUUGGGAGGCUGAGGCAGGAGAAUCACUUGAGCCUGGGAGGCAGAAGUUGCAGUGAGCAGAGAUCAUGCCACUGUCCUCCAGUCUGGGUGACAGAGUGAGAUCCUGUCUCAA
Molecule: unclassified non-coding RNA, 148 nt
Organism: Macaca fascicularis (crab-eating macaque)
Lineage: Eukaryota; Metazoa; Chordata; Mammalia; Primates; Cercopithecidae
Rfam family: Metazoan signal recognition particle RNA
About the family: The signal recognition particle (SRP) is a universally conserved ribonucleoprotein. It is involved in the co-translational targeting of proteins to membranes. The eukaryotic SRP consists of a 300-nucleotide 7S RNA and six proteins: SRPs 72, 68, 54, 19, 14, and 9.
Source: Ensembl